GGGUCGAAAUCAGACCCUGAGGCACAAAACUGAGACUCGACGACGACUCCAAGACUCUUUAGUAUAUCAGAGAGUGGGAUUUAAUAGCAGAUUAAAUAAGGUUUUUAUAGAUGUUGAUUUUGGGUGAUUUGGAGUUGAUAUGACUUAGGAAGACCUUUGCAAAAUCAAGGUUUGUUUCGGAUAAUUUGGAUUUUAUGAAAUAAAAUAGGGUUUAUGUUUUGGAUGAUUUCAAGAGUUUUGUAAGAGAUCUAUGGGUGAAAUUUUGUGGGUUUAUGGUUAUAGUUGUGUUUAAUAUGUGUCGUAAAUUUGAGCUUGAUCUAAUGGUUGAACUGAGGAAUAUUGAGGUUUAAGUGGAUCAAGGUCUCAGAAAGUAGAAUUUUAGGUCUAGUAGGAGUUUUUAAGUUUUCUUGCAAUCUACUAUUUGGAUUGGAAUAAAAAUUACGUGAGAAGAUAUUAGACUUGUUUUUCUAUUUGUAUGAGAAUUUUGAGAUCAAUCGAACGGUGUAAAAAAGAGAUAUUGGCUCUGAAAGAUUGGCAUCAAGAUUGGAGAAGGAGGCCGGCCAAAACCCAAGUACAUUUUUGAGGAUAUCGUCAACUUGGUAACUCUGAUCUUUUUCAAUUUUUUGUGCUUGUUUUGAACUUAGUUUUUAAGAAGUAUGCAAAUUUUGAGUUAAAAUCAAUGGUUUAUUCAUUAAUUAUUGAGGUUUAAAUCUGUUGUAGAAAUUACUAGGGUUUGGUUUAGGGUUUAGUUAGGGUUUGAUUAGGAUUUGGUUUAGGAUUUGGUUUAAGGUUUGAUUUAGGAUUUAGGAUUUAGGGUUUGGAUUAGGAUUUAUUUUAGGAUUAGGAUUUGAUUAGGAUUUGGUUUAAGAUUUAGGAUUUGGAUUAGGAUUUAAUUUAGGGUUUAAGAUUUGAUUAGGGUUUAAUUUAGGAUUUAGGAUUUGAUUAGGGUUUUAUUUAGGAUUUAGAAUUUGGUUAGGGUUUGAUUUAGGGUUUAGGAUUUAGUUAGGGUUUGAUUUAGGAUUUGGGAUUUGGAUUUAGGAUUUGAUAAAGAUUUGAUUUAGGAUUUUAUUAGGAUUUAUUUAAGGUUUAAGAUUUAAUUAAUUUGGGCCUAAAGUUUGAAUGAAGUCCAAUAGGAUUUUAACUAAGAUUAAAUUAAGAUUGAAUUGAGAUAUGUUUGAGAGAUAUUUGUGAUUAUUCUAAUAUUUCUUUAAUAUUUCUUAUUAUUUCUUUGAAAUUUCUUUGAGAUUUCUUUGAAUUUGAUUAAGCUUGUUUAGCAUUAUUGUGGUCCAAUUAGAGCAUUAUUAGUAUUCUAUUAGAAUUAGGAUUUUGUUAUUGCAAUUUCUAUUCUUUCUUCCACAACCAAGUGCCCGGAGCAUUCUCAAGCAAGACUUCAUGUAUUAUGACACCGCUAUAAAGCU
This 1418-nucleotide long non-coding RNA is filed under the name Physcomitrium patens. RNAcentral's name for it is "long non-coding RNA (PPAT_LNC004959)". Lineage: Eukaryota; Viridiplantae; Streptophyta; Bryopsida; Funariales; Funariaceae. The record is from RNAcentral.